AACGAACGCUGGCGGCAGGCUUAACACAUGCAAGUCGAGCGAGACCUUCGGGUCUAGCGGCGGACGGGUGAGUAACGCGUGGGAACGUGCCCUUCUCUACGGAAUAGCCCCGGGAAACUGGGAGUAAUACCGUAUACGCCCUUUGGGGGAAAGAUUUAUCGGAGAAGGAUCGGCCCGCGUUGGAUUAGGUAGUUGGUGGGGUAAUGGCCCACCAAGCCGACGAUCCAUAGCUGGUUUGAGAGGAUGAUCAGCCACACUGGGACUGAGACACGGCCCAGACUCCUACGGGAGGCAGCAGUGGGGAAUCUUAGACAAUGGGGGCAACCCUGAUCUAGCCAUGCCGCGUGAGUGAUGAAGGCCUUAGGGUUGUAAAGCUCUUUCAGCUGGGAAGAUAAUGACGGUACCAGCAGAAGAAGCCCCGGCUAACUCCGUGCCAGCCGCCGCCGUAACAC
This 452-nucleotide ribosomal RNA is filed under the name uncultured bacterium. Its description in RNAcentral is "bacterial SSU rRNA". It matches the Rfam family "Bacterial small subunit ribosomal RNA", at positions 29 to 526 of the family's 1533-position model. The record is from RNAcentral.